UGGGGAAUAUUGGACAAUGGGCGAAAGCCUGAUCCAGCCAUGCCGCGUGUGUGAAGAAGGUCUUCGGAUUGUAAAGCACUUUAGGUUGGGAGGAAGGGCAGUAAGCGAAUACCUUGCUGUUUUGACGUUACCGACAGAAUAAGCACCGGCUAACUCUGUGCCAGCAGCCGCGGUAAUACAGAGGGUGCAAGCGUUAAUCGGAAUUACUGGGCGUAAAGCGCGCGUAGGUGGUUCGUUAAGUUGAAUGUGAAAGCCCCGGGCUCAACCUGGGAACUGCAUCCAAAACUGGCGAGCUAGAGUAGGGCAGAGGGUGGUGGAAUUUCCUGUGUAGCGGUGAAAUGCGUAGUUAUAGGAAGGAACACCAGUGGCGAAGGCGACCACCUGGGCUCAUACUGACACUGAGGUGCGAAAGCGUGGGGAGCAAACAGG
RNAcentral lists this ribosomal RNA (429 nucleotides) under Pseudomonadota bacterium. Its description in RNAcentral is "Proteobacteria bacterium partial 16S ribosomal RNA". It matches the Rfam family "Bacterial small subunit ribosomal RNA", at positions 355 to 776 of the family's 1533-position model. The record is from RNAcentral. Lineage: Bacteria; Pseudomonadati; Pseudomonadota.